This 405-nucleotide unclassified non-coding RNA is filed under the name Melitaea cinxia (Glanville fritillary). Its description in RNAcentral is "misc RNA ENSMCXG00005011465.1". Lineage: Eukaryota; Metazoa; Arthropoda; Insecta; Lepidoptera; Nymphalidae. The record is from RNAcentral.
UUUUUUUUUUUUUUUUUAACAAGUUUAAGGUUUAAAGAAUUUAUUCUCAUAAAAAGAUUACAUUAAAUCCACUUACAUGAGAACAAUACAUUGAUAUAAGUACUUAAUUAAAUCAACAGUCACUGCAUUUUAACAAAAGUUUGUUACAAUGAAUAAGUAAAGAUGCACAAAACAUUCAUAAUAAUUAUAGUAAAUCAAAGUGAAAAUGUAUUUGCUUGUUUACACACAAAUAGAUACACAUACACAUUAGUAGUUUGCAAUUAUGUAAUUACGUAAUUGGGACUUAAAAAUGUUGAGAGAGUCUAGAUUUUUUAUAUCUGAGGGUAGUUUAUUAUAAAAAUUUACUCCCUCAAAAGUUAUACUUUUUUUCCCUAAUUUGGUACGAGUUUUUGGCAACACGAGCAA